This 198-nucleotide ribosomal RNA is filed under the name uncultured Racocetra. Its description in RNAcentral is "partial 18S ribosomal RNA". It matches the Rfam family "Eukaryotic small subunit ribosomal RNA", at positions 569 to 767 of the family's 1831-position model. The record is from RNAcentral. Lineage: Eukaryota; Fungi; Glomeromycota; Glomeromycetes; Diversisporales; Gigasporaceae.
AGCAGCCGCGGUAAUUCCAGCUCCAAUAGCGUAUAUUAAAGUUGUUGCAGUUAAAAAGCUCGUAGUCGAAGCGGGUGUGACGUUUGGUGGCAAGCUGCGCAAGUGGCUGUGUCAGCGGCGGCACAAAAGAGGCUGAGGGCGGCUGGUACUCUUUAGUGGGCGGCAGCUAGCCAGCAGCAGGAUUACCUUGAGCAAAAU